This 501-nucleotide ribosomal RNA is filed under the name uncultured bacterium. Its description in RNAcentral is "partial 16S ribosomal RNA". It matches the Rfam family "Bacterial small subunit ribosomal RNA", at positions 30 to 523 of the family's 1533-position model. The record is from RNAcentral.
AUUGAACGCUGGCGGCAGGCUUAACACAUGCAAGUCGAGCGGAGAUGAGGUGCUUGCACCUUAUCUUAGCGGCGGACGGGUGAGUAAUGCUUAGGAAUCUGCCUAUUAGUGGGGGACAACAUUCCGAAAGGAAUGCUAAUACCGCAUACGUCCUACGGGAGAAAGCAGGGGAUCUUCGGACCUUGCGCUAAUAGAUGAGCCUAAGUCGGAUUAGCUAGUUGGUGGGGUAAAGGCCUACCAAGGCGACGAUCUGUAGCGGGUCUGAGAGGAUGAUCCUCCACACGGGGGCGGAGACACCGCCCAGAUUCCUACGGGAGGCAGCAGUGGGGAAUAUUGGACAAUGGGGGGAACCCUGAUCCAGCCAGGCCGCGUGUGUGAAGAAGGCCUUAUGGUUGUAAAGCACUUUAAGCGAGGAGGAGGCUACUGAGACUAAUACUCUUGGAUAGUGGACGUUACUCGCAGAAUAAGCACCGGCUAACUCUGUGCCAGCCGCCGCCGUAA